GUUUCCUCACUGCUGAGCGAGGCUGAACCCAACUGAAGCAGUACUGACCAUAGAUAUAUGGAUAUCUGUGGUACUGACCGUCUCAAUCUUUUCCUCCUGCUUUUACAGGCCGUAUGAUUUAUUCCAACAAGCUGGGCUUCCUCGGUGGAGUUUCGUGGGCCAUCAUGGUGGCGAGAAUCUGCCAACUGUACCCCUGGUUCUGUUGAUGACAGAGCAACCAGGUUGACUGCAAAGUCCCCUGCACUGGCUUCAAGUGCACACAAGCUACUGGUACAUUCUGUGAGGGAGCAGAGAAUGAGGACCAGAUGAUUGGAUGAGGAUUUCUGAGUUCCAGGCCAGGAACAAAGCCUGCCUCCCUCAUCAGCUACUCUCUGGAGUUUUAGCUGACCUGAACCAGAUGCACAAGCUAAAUGAAAAGGCUUACACCAACCCGGAGCAGUGGCAGAGGAGAGCUACGGCCGCCACGUCAGCCCGCCGGGCCGAGCACCCGACCCCAAUGAGGGGGUCUCUGAUUUCUCACACAUGCAGUUUGCCAGGGGUAGCGGCUCUGCCCCCCAGCCCUCCCAGCAGCAGCUGCAGGAGCAGGACAAGUACAGGGCUGACCUGAAACAGCAGAUUGCUGAGAAAAAGCAGAAGAGAGCGCAGGAAAGGGAAAAAUCUAAGGAGGAAGACGAGGAAGAGGAGAGGAGGCUGGUGGAGCAGAGGGCCCACAUUCAAAAGGAGUAUGAGGAAGAACAGGAGAGGAAGAAGCCAAGCCUGGCCCCUCUUCGAUCCCCUCUUCCCCUAAGCUGGUCUCAGGUUCCACCACAACACUUCCCUGACUGGGAUCCACACCUAGCGGCCCUACUCCUCUUCACCCCGAGGUUCCAGCAGCUGACCUGAGCAGCCACUGCUCUGAGGGAGAGCUCGACGCGAGGGCUCCAAACACCAACGGUGCUGGGAUAAAUGAUCCAAGCCCACCCACUGCUGCACAGGACCCCGACAUCACUCCAUUGGCUCUGCCGGGUCACUCUGAGGUCUCACCGGGAAAGAGGCUGUUGGCGCAGGAUGAGGAUGAGGACACCAUCCUCAGCCUUCCUCCCAGACAUUGUUUUACACCACAGCUUCGAUCAAAAAGAAGUGUCUUAUCUGCAGGAAAGAGAAGAAGGCACGAGAUGGACCACAUGGUCGAGACGGUGGAUGAGGUGAAGGAGAUGUGUUUGAGGAUGGACGGUCAUUUCCAGCACCUCCUGGAGGCUCAGGGAACAGAGGCCCAGGAGAUACCAGACUGGUGGACAUGUUGGAGGCCCACCUUGACCAGAGAGAGAGGGAGAACCAGGCCUUCAAUGAACUGUUCAGGAAGAGCAUUCAGAUGGUGGCCAAGGCGUUCAGUGGCCAGACUUCUG
This is a long non-coding RNA of Cheilinus undulatus (humphead wrasse), 1385 nucleotides long. RefSeq lists it as uncharacterized. The record is from RefSeq and is a predicted model, not a curated record. The transcript is spliced from 6 exons. NCBI's taxonomy places the organism in Eukaryota, Metazoa, Chordata, Actinopteri, Labriformes, Labridae.